AAGGACUGCCUUAAAAAAAAAACCAACAACAACAAACACCCUUCCCUUUCCUCUUAGAAUCUAUACUGUGUUUUGGUUUCAAGGCAGAAGAAAGGUAAAGUUUUCAAGGUUAUAUUUUGACCAUUUGAAACAUUUGAGCUCCAUUAGAAGAAGCAACAUGGUAGGGUGAAUGGAGGAAUAAUCAGGAAGACCUGAGUUCCAGUUCUAUUUGUGAAACUAUGGCUAAGGACCUUCAUUUCCCAGUGCUUCAGGCAACUCUUUAAGUCUCGAGUUGCAGACCAUCCCCAAUGGAACUAAUAAAAUGGUAAUUCUGAAUUCAGAACCAAAUACAUACAGUGUAAGGGCUAGACAAUGGGGGUCAAGUCACUUGCCCAGGGAUACACAGCUAGGAAGUGUCUGA
RNAcentral lists this long non-coding RNA (400 nucleotides) under Monodelphis domestica (gray short-tailed opossum). RNAcentral describes it as "lncRNA (ENSMODG00000050602.1)". The record is from RNAcentral. Lineage: Eukaryota; Metazoa; Chordata; Mammalia; Didelphimorphia; Didelphidae.